UGUGUGUGUGUGUAGGGCAUAGGUGCCGAUUCCGUGGAUGCUCGGGCCCAGUAGCACCCACGGAAAAUGAUGAGCAUCCAGUGCCGGCGCUCAGGGCAGCAGGCCCAGGGCACCGUACUGCACGGACAGCACAGCGGCAGCAGCACACUACAGCCCUGGGAGCUGCCUGUAUUCCCGGAUGUGGCUCCCAAUCCCCACUGCCCUGGAGCAAAGGUGACGGAGAAUAGGCACGGACCAGUUAACAUCCUAGGUGCGGAUUGGCCAAGGCUCCUCACUGGGAAGAUUUUGGCAUUUGGCCCCGUCCCCCUGUUUGAUCACUCUCGUUAGAUGGACAUUUACUACCUGCCGUCGGCUCUGCACCUCCUGCUAUGGGAUGGGAAACUGGAGGAAAAUCCUGUAAAUCUUCUGGGGGGACAAGUGCACUUUUGUAAAGUCCAGUCAACUAAGAGAAGAGCCAUGAUUUACCCAAGAGAAGAGCAAUGGUUACUUCAGCAUACUAAUUGAGCUGGUGUGCCCUCGUACAACUAACCUUAAUAUACCAUACAGCGAGAUGCACAACACAACUGACCCACUCCAAUAGAGUUGAGAAGCAUUUGUUUCCUUGAAUGUUGCAUCUUAUUUGCAUCGCAGACACAACAAGCACCGCUCACAGUGUACCAGAGAUGCUGCAACCUCAACCACACAGGAAGUAGUUUUAAAUAUGUAUAAAGUUGUACAUGAAGCACAAUGGAACUUGGCGCGAGAAAAAGAGAGAUGGAUAAAAAGUACCAACCAAUCAGCUUCUGUC
Molecule: long non-coding RNA, 787 nt
Organism: Pseudophryne corroboree (corroboree frog)
Lineage: Eukaryota; Metazoa; Chordata; Amphibia; Anura; Myobatrachidae
Exons: 3
Source: RefSeq, a predicted model, not a curated record